UAGUAGGUAGGAUCAGGGUGCUAGCCGUGCCCUAUUCUGAAACCGGCUAUAAGCAGAGAUCAGCAACUACGAAAUAAAUUUCGUAAUUGGUGACUCCCGCAUAAUAUGUGAAAAUGAAAUCACGCCAAAGCGGGUGGUUAUAAACCUAAGAUCAUUCGAAGGAAUGAUCUGAAGGUUGAACUAUCGAAAUGGAUGAGGACCAGGAGGGAGCAAUCCUAAGAUAGAAUAGCUACGCUUCUUUGUCAACGUGUUGGAUUUCAUGUAUUUUGAGAUGGGAUUAUCGAUUAUGAUUGGAAUUUGUGGAUCUGCUA
Molecule: signal recognition particle RNA, 311 nt
Filed under: Nitrosopumilaceae archaeon
Lineage: Archaea; Thermoproteati; Nitrososphaerota; Nitrososphaeria; Nitrosopumilales; Nitrosopumilaceae
Description: signal recognition particle sRNA
Rfam family: Archaeal signal recognition particle RNA
Source: RNAcentral